GUGCUUGCUUUAGCAGCACAUGUACUUAAACUGGAACGAUACAAAGAAGAUUAGCAUGGCCCCUGCGCAAGGAUGACAUGCACAUUCAUGGAGCCUUCCAAAUUUUU
Trichosurus vulpecula (common brushtail) is the source of this 107-nucleotide small nuclear RNA. The record is from RefSeq and is a predicted model, not a curated record. NCBI's taxonomy places the organism in Eukaryota, Metazoa, Chordata, Mammalia, Diprotodontia, Phalangeridae.